This is a small nuclear RNA of Ochotona princeps (American pika), 107 nucleotides long. The record is from Ensembl. Lineage: Eukaryota; Metazoa; Chordata; Mammalia; Lagomorpha; Ochotonidae.
GUGCUCACUUUGGCAACACAUAUACUAAAAUUGGAAUGAUACAGAGAAGAUUAGCAUGGCCCCUCUGCAAGGAUGACAUGCAAAUUCAUGGAGCAUUCCAUAUUUUU